Molecule: transfer RNA, 65 nt
Filed under: Cryptocelis alba
Lineage: Eukaryota; Metazoa; Platyhelminthes; Polycladida; Cryptocelidae
Description: tRNA-Arg
Source: RNAcentral
CGUGAGAAAUUCAUAAGAAGAAUGGUUUCGGCCCAUUAUUUGAGUAAACCAGUACUCUCUCAUGU